RNAcentral lists this ribosomal RNA (290 nucleotides) under uncultured bacterium. RNAcentral describes it as "partial 16S ribosomal RNA". It matches the Rfam family "Bacterial small subunit ribosomal RNA", at positions 29 to 334 of the family's 1533-position model. The record is from RNAcentral.
AACGAACGCUGGCGGCAGGCUUAACACAUGCAAGUCGAACGAAAAGCUUUCCUUCGGGAAAGUGGAAAGUGGCAGACGGGUGAGUAACACGUGGGAACGUACCCUUUGGUUCGGGACAACUCCGGGAAACUGGAGCUAAUACCGGAUAAGCCCUUUGGGGGAAAGAUUUAUCGCCGAAGGAUCGGCCCGCGUCGGAUUAGCUUGUUGGUGGGGUAAUGGCCCACCAAGGCUUUGAUCCGUAGCUGGUCUGGGAGGAUGAUCAGCCACACUGGGACUGAGACACGGCCCAG